GAUGAACGCUGGCGGCGUGCCUAAUACAUGCAAGUCGAGCGAACAGAUGAGGAGCUUGCUCCUCUGACGUUAGCGGCGGACGGGUGAGUAACACGUGGAUAACCUACCUAUAAGACUGGGAUAACUUCGGGAAACCGGAGCUAAUACCGGAUAAUAUAUUGAACCGCAUGGUUCAAUAGUGAAAGACGGUUUUGCUGUCAAUUAUAGAUGGAUCCGCGCCGCAUUAGCUAGUUGGUAAGGUAACGGCUUACCAAGGCAACGAUGCGUAGCCGACCUGAGAGGGUGGUCGCCCACACUGGAACUGAGACACGGUCCAGACUCCUACGGGAGGCAGCAAUAGGGAAUCUUCCGCAAUGGGCGAAAGCCCGACGGAGCAACGCCGCGUGAGUGAUGAAGGUCUUCGGAUCGUAAAGCUCUGUUAUUAGGAAAGAACAAAUGUGUAAGUAACUAUGCACGUCUUGACGGUACCUAAUCAGAAAGCCACGGCUAACUACGUG
Molecule: ribosomal RNA, 497 nt
Filed under: uncultured bacterium
Lineage: Bacteria
Description: partial 16S ribosomal RNA
Rfam family: Bacterial small subunit ribosomal RNA
Source: RNAcentral